UUUUAAUGAAGACCUGUAUGAAUGGCAUAACGAGGGCUUAACUGUCUCCUCUUUCCAGUGAAUGAAAUUGAUCUCUCCGUGCAGAAGCGGGGAUAAAAACAUAAGACGAGAAGACCCUAUGGAGCUUUAGACACAAAGACAGAUCAUGNUAAACACCCCCCAAUAAAGGCCUAAACUUAAUGAUCCCCUGUCCUAAUGGCUUCGGGUGGGGCGACCAUGGGGAAACACAAAUCCCCCAUGGGGAAUAGGAGGACAAUCCCAUAUUAUUUUCCUCUCCUCCCACAAGCAAGAGCCACAACUCUAGCUAACAGAACUUUUGACCUUAUAUGAUCCGGCGCACGCCGAUCAACGGACCAAGUUACCCUAGGGAUAACAGCGCAAUCCCCUUUUAGAGCCCAUAUCGACNAGGG
This 410-nucleotide ribosomal RNA is filed under the name Trachurus japonicus (Japanese jack mackerel). RNAcentral's name for it is "partial 16S ribosomal RNA". It matches the Rfam family "Bacterial large subunit ribosomal RNA", at positions 1975 to 2514 of the family's 2925-position model. The record is from RNAcentral. Lineage: Eukaryota; Metazoa; Chordata; Actinopteri; Carangiformes; Carangidae.